This 406-nucleotide ribosomal RNA is filed under the name uncultured bacterium. Its description in RNAcentral is "partial 16S ribosomal RNA". It matches the Rfam family "Bacterial small subunit ribosomal RNA", at positions 28 to 526 of the family's 1533-position model. The record is from RNAcentral.
GAUGAACGCUAGCUACAGGCUUAACACAUGCAAGUCGAGGGACCGGCGCACGGGUGAGAAACACGUAUCCAACCUGCCCUUUACUCGGGGAUAGCCUUUCGAAAGAAAGAUUAAUACCCGAUAUAAUGGAUGGGGAUGCGUUGCAUUAGGUUGAUGGUGAGGUAACGGCUCACCAAGCCUUCGAUGGUUAGGGGUUCUGAGAGGAAGGUCCCUGCCAUUGGAACUGAGGCAAAGUCCACACUCCUACGGAAUGGAGUAGUGAGGAAUAUUGGGCGAUGGACGCGAGCCUGAACCCGCCAAGUAGCGUGAAGGAUGAAGGCUUAUGUGUCUUAAACUACUUUUAUAUAAGAAUAUGUAUUAUAUGAAUAAGGAUCGGCUAACUCCGUGCCAGCCGCCGCGGUAAUUC